This 497-nucleotide ribosomal RNA is filed under the name uncultured bacterium. RNAcentral's name for it is "partial 16S ribosomal RNA". It matches the Rfam family "Bacterial small subunit ribosomal RNA", at positions 28 to 507 of the family's 1533-position model. The record is from RNAcentral.
GAUGAACGCUGGCGGCGUGCCUAAUACAUGCAAGUCGAGCGAACAGACGAGGAGCUUGCUCCUCUGACGUUAGCGGCGGACGGGUGAGUAACACGUGGAUAACCUACCUAUAAGACUGGGAUAACUUCGGGAAACCGGAGCUAAUACCGGAUAAUAUAUUAAACCGCAUGGUUCAAUAGUGAAAGACGGUUUUGCUGUCCCUUAUAAAUGGAUCCGCUCCUCAUUAGCUAGUUGGUAAGGUAACGGCUUACCAAGGCAACGCUGCGUAGCCAACCUGAGAGGGUGAUCGGCCACACUGGAACUGAGACACGGUCCAGACUCCUACGGGAGGCAGCAGUAGGGAAUCUUCCGCAAUGGGCGAAAGCUUGACGGAGCAACGCCGCGUGAGUGAUGAAGGUCUUCGGAUCGUAAAACUCUGUUAUUAGGGAAGAACAAAUGUGUAAGUAACUAUGCACGUCUUGACGGUACCUAAUCAGAAAGCCACGGCUAACUACGUG